AAAAUGAAGCCGGGAAACCGGUCCUUCAAACCCUUGAUUAUUAUUCACUUGUUGCUUUGGUGGGCCGCGAGAGCUUAUGCUUGAGCACCGGCUUUCGGGCUGGAGAGUGCCUGCCAGAGGACCCAACUCUGUAUUUUAGUGUCGUCUGAGUACUAUAAAAUAGUUA
Molecule: unclassified non-coding RNA, 166 nt
Filed under: uncultured fungus
Lineage: Eukaryota; Fungi
Also listed under: 1 other name
Description: sequence contains ITS1, 5.8S rRNA gene
Source: RNAcentral